CCCAUCCCAGGAUUGCACCUGGAGAGUUUCCAGCACUCUACCAGUCUUGGCUACAGGAGGAAGAGUCAAGCAGAGGCUUACCCAUUCCAUUCCUAUCUUGGGCAGUGGCUAGUGAGUGGAAGGCAAUCUGUCAAAAAC
This 138-nucleotide small nucleolar RNA is filed under the name Ornithorhynchus anatinus (platypus). Lineage: Eukaryota; Metazoa; Chordata; Mammalia; Monotremata; Ornithorhynchidae. The record is from RNAcentral.